UACGGAGGAUCCGAGCGAUAUCCGGAUUUAUUGGGUUUAAAGGGAGCGUAGGUGGAUUGUUAAGUCAGUUGUGAAAGUUUGCGGCUCAACCCCGGCCCGCCGUUGAAACUGGCAGUCUUGAGUGGGCGAGAAGUAUGCGGAAUGCGUGGUGUAGCGGUGAAAUGCAUAGAUAUCACGCAGAACUCCGAUUGCGAAGGCAGCAUACCGGCGCCCAACUGACGCUGAAGCACGAAAGCGUGGGUAUCGAACAGG
RNAcentral lists this ribosomal RNA (252 nucleotides) under uncultured Bacteroidales bacterium. Its description in RNAcentral is "partial 16S ribosomal RNA". It matches the Rfam family "Bacterial small subunit ribosomal RNA", at positions 524 to 776 of the family's 1533-position model. Lineage: Bacteria; Pseudomonadati; Bacteroidota; Bacteroidia; Bacteroidales. The record is from RNAcentral.